Molecule: unclassified non-coding RNA, 225 nt
Filed under: Hevea brasiliensis (rubber tree)
Lineage: Eukaryota; Viridiplantae; Streptophyta; Magnoliopsida; Malpighiales; Euphorbiaceae
Source: RNAcentral
CGAGACUAGGACAAAAAGCUUAACAAUGAAGCAUCUACCACCACAAGUUAGAUUCAAAUGAAACUCCGGCGAAGCUCCGAUGAGACGAGAAGAUUCAAUAAUCUGAAACUUCCAAAGUUCCCCCUAAUACUUACUCCCUCUCCACUCUAAGACAUCAUCUUAAAACAUGGAGGAGAUGGGGCCAUUUAUAGGGGGAGCUUGAGUGAUUUGGGAGGAAACCGUUGG